Molecule: ribosomal RNA, 253 nt
Filed under: uncultured bacterium
Lineage: Bacteria
Description: partial 16S ribosomal RNA
Rfam family: Bacterial small subunit ribosomal RNA
Source: RNAcentral
GACGGAGGAUGCAAGUGUUAUCCGGAAUCACUGGGCGUAAAGCGUCUGUAGGUGGUUUAAUAAGUCAACUGUUAAAUCUUGAGGCUCAACCUCAAAAUCGCAGUCGAAACUAUUAGGCUAGAGUAUAGUAGGGGUAAAGGGAAUUUCCAGUGGAGCGGUGAAAUGCGUAGAGAUUGGAAAGAACACCGAUGGCGAAGGCACUUUACUGGGCUACUACUAACACUCAGAGACGAAAGCUAGGGUAGCAAAUGGG